GACGAACGCUGGCGGCGUGCUUAACACAUGCAAGUCGAACUGAAAGGCCCUGCUUUUGUGGGGUGCUCGAGUGGCGAACAGGUGAGUAACACGUGAGUAACCUGCCCUUGACUUUGGGAUAACUUCAGGAAACUGGGGCUAAUACCGGAUAGGAGCUCCUGCUGCAUGGUGGGGGUUGGAAAGUUUCGGCGGUUGGGGAUGGACUCGCGGCUUAUCAGCUUGUUGGUGGGGUAGUGGCUUACCAAGGCUUUGACGGGUAGCCGGCCUGAGAGGGUGACCGGCCACAUUGGGACUGAGAUACGGCCCAGACUCCUACGGGAGGCAGCAGUGGGGAAUAUUGCACAAUGGGCGGAAGCCUGAUGCAGCAACGCCGCGUGCGGGAUGACGGCCUUCGGGUUGUAAACCGCUUUCGCCUGUGACGAAGCGUGAGUGACGGUAAUGGGUAAAGAAGCACCGGCUAACUACGUG
This 468-nucleotide ribosomal RNA is filed under the name uncultured bacterium. RNAcentral describes it as "partial 16S ribosomal RNA". It matches the Rfam family "Bacterial small subunit ribosomal RNA", at positions 28 to 507 of the family's 1533-position model. The record is from RNAcentral.